AUGUACAUGUAAACAUUACCACGUGUAUUUGUUUAUAAAAUUACACGUGUUUGAAAGUAUAUAAUAGGUUAAAUGUUUUUCAUUGGUCGAGUUAGAACUGACCAUAAUAUUUGAAUAAGGUCAUUUCAAAUAUUUCGUGCUAUACUUUUGGCGGUUUUGUAUAUUAAAGAUAUUGUCAUUCGAGGUUCGCUUUUGGUGCAGUAAAGUUGUAAGCUUGUGCUUAACCUGAGUAUGUCUGAGAAUAGAGAAGGAAGUCCAAUGUCCGAAGAUAUUUUUCGAGUUGGUAGAUGGACACAGAAUUCAGAUAUUUCGGAUGAACUUUCUACAUUGAAAGCUAGAUUACCAGAGUACUGCUUGAGCUCACGUUCUCUGAACACUCGUAAAAAGUACCAGUAUGCCUUUAAUGCUUUCUAUUGGUUUUUGUGUUUGUUACCUGCAGCGGCCUAGGCAGACAGUAACACUGAUGAACAUUUUUUACGCUGCAUUUGUCUUUAAUAAAAUUAAAGCUUUGCUGCACACUGUCAGGCGAGCUGAUCCCAUACA
Molecule: long non-coding RNA, 543 nt
Organism: Mytilus trossulus (common blue mussel)
Lineage: Eukaryota; Metazoa; Mollusca; Bivalvia; Mytilida; Mytilidae
Exons: 3
Source: RefSeq, a predicted model, not a curated record